RNAcentral lists this ribosomal RNA (508 nucleotides) under uncultured bacterium. Its description in RNAcentral is "partial 16S ribosomal RNA". It matches the Rfam family "Bacterial small subunit ribosomal RNA", at positions 28 to 523 of the family's 1533-position model. The record is from RNAcentral.
GAUGAACGCUAGCUACAGGCUUAACACAUGCAAGUCGAGGGGAAACGACAUCGAAAGCUUGCUUUUGAUGGGCGUCGACCGGCGCACGGGUGAGUAACGCGUAUCCAACCUGCCCACCACUUGGGGAUAACCUUGCGAAAGUAAGACUAAUACCCAAUGAUAUCUCUAGAAGACAUCUGAAAGAGAUUAAAGAUUUACCGGUGAUGGAUGGGGAUGCGUCUGAUUAGCUUGUUGGCGGGGUAACGGCCCACCAAGGCUACGAUCAGUAGGGGUUCUGCGAGGAAGGUCCCCCACAUUGGAACUGAGACACGGUCCAAACUCCUACGGGAGGCAGCAGUGAGGAAUAUUGGUCAAUGGACGGGAGUCUGAACCAGCCAAGUAGCGUGCAGGAUGACGGCCCUAUGGGUUGUAAACUGCUUUUAUAAGGGAAUAAAGUGAGUCUCGUGAGACUUUUUGCAUGUACCUUAUGAAUAAGGACCGGCUAAUUCCGUGCCAGCCGCCGCAGUAA